AGAUUGAACGCUGGCGGCAUGCCUUACACAUGCAAGUCGAACGGCAGCGCGGGAGCAAUCCUGGUGGCGAGUGGCGAACGGGUGAGUAAUACAUCGGAACGUGCCCAAUCGUGGGGGAUAACGCAGCGAAAGCUGUGCUAAUACCGCAUAAGAUCUACGGAUGAAAGCAGGGGAUCGCAAGACCUUGCGCGAAUGGAGCGGCCGAUGGCAGAUUAGGUAGUUGGUGAGGUAAAGGCUCACCAAGCCUUCGAUCUGUAGCUGGUCUGAGAGGACGACCAGCCACACUGGGACUGAGACACGGCCCAGACUCCUACGGGAGCAGCAGUGGGGAAUUUGGACAAGUGGGCGAAAGCCUGAUCCAGCCAUGCCGCGUGCAGGAUGAAGGCCGUUCGGUUAGUAACUGUCGUUUUGUAACGGAACGUAAAGUCUUACGUUUACUAAGUAAACGAGGUAUAC
Molecule: ribosomal RNA, 456 nt
Filed under: uncultured soil bacterium
Lineage: Bacteria
Description: bacterial SSU rRNA
Rfam family: Bacterial small subunit ribosomal RNA
Source: RNAcentral